UGAAUUUUCAGGUUCCUUUGUUAUAAGGCCAGUGCCAACUCUUAUAACAUAGUGACUUUUUGCUCUUUGAUUUGAUUAUAACCUUUAAAGAAUAGAAAAUAGCUUAUAAAAUUGUACUAAAUAAUUGUAUUUGAAGGUAAUUUUUAUAAUAAUACACAGUAAUCUAUUGAUUUAAGCUAAAUAUAUUUACGAUUCCUUUGCUUAGAUAUAAUUUUUUUUCAAUUUUAAAAACUAUAAAUAUUAGAAUUACAACAAAUUUUGCAUUAAAAAUUGAAACGAUAUUAAACUAUGAAGAAAUCUGCCCGAAAUUUGCUAUAUGAUAGAUUACACAAAGGGGGUGUAUUAAUAUGUGUUGGAUUGACGAUUUAUGGCUCAGUUAUGCUUGCUGAUCAUUUCUACAAGUAUUACAAAUAUGUCAGACCUCAAAUACAAACAGCAAAGUUAGCAGCUGAGCAAGAGUUACUAGCAGAGGGGUCUUCAGAUAGAAUUUUGUUAAAAGAAUAGGUAGUCAGAGUUAUUGUUUUUAUAGUUCUUAAUAAUAUAUGUUGAGAAUAGAUGAGAAGGCAUCUUCAAACUACAAAUCUCUUCAAACUGAUUUGUACUGCUUCAAGUUUAUUAGAUGUCAUUGAUUUUUUAAUGAUGUGUAACAUUUGUUACAUAUUGAUGAUUUAUGAGUUCUUAAUUAAUUAUGAUUUUUUUUUCAAUCCAAAGAUUUUGCUCCCCAUGCUGUUCUUAUGUUGUGAAAGUAAGUUGUGUUAUUAUUGAUAAAUUUAUAACAUACAAGCCUCUUAAACAGAUUCAAUAAUUCUUUUAAAUACAUUGAAUAAUUCAACUAUAUUAUUAAAAAUAUUUAUGUAGAAUUUAGUGUAAGUUGCUGAUUAGUAUUGAUUUAACAUGUACUUUGUUAUUGUGCAUUUUAAGCAUUGUAGAAUAAUCUUAGUUUGAGUUCUAAGUCAUUUCUGAUGUAAUAUAAUAGAAUAGUACUCUGUAUCAUGAUAAUGUAAUUAAAAACAUUUUUUUAUGCAA
This is a long non-coding RNA of Galleria mellonella (greater wax moth), 1026 nucleotides long. RefSeq lists it as uncharacterized. NCBI's taxonomy places the organism in Eukaryota, Metazoa, Arthropoda, Insecta, Lepidoptera, Pyralidae. The record is from RefSeq and is a predicted model, not a curated record. The transcript has 2 exons.